This 5046-nucleotide long non-coding RNA is filed under the name Brassica napus (rape). RNAcentral's name for it is "long non-coding RNA (BNAP_LNC001587)". Lineage: Eukaryota; Viridiplantae; Streptophyta; Magnoliopsida; Brassicales; Brassicaceae. The record is from RNAcentral.
AGUUUAAUUGAGAGAAAGAGGUCGGGCACAUGAAUUAGGGUCCGACGGUCGUCUUCUCCAAACUCAGAUGACGUUCCUGAUACCUUCAGCAGAGAAACGGAUCUACCUUUAAUCCCAUUGAUUGGUGCCUCCACGAUGUGUUUUCAAUGCGAUCCUUACGCCUCAGAGGUGGUGCGAUUAUUGCGUAUAAAUAGGGGUCACCCCUCUCAUCCUCGACGCACCCACGCUUUCCUACAUAGAUUCUUCUUUGUUUUUGUCAUGUAUGCUCCGAAAGUUUUCUUCUCAGACCUCAAGUCCGGCAAGUGCUCCUCCGUCGUUGAGGCUCGGCUUCUGCGGUCCUGGGAGGCAAAAAAUGUCAAACGCGAUGGGGAAUUGAUGUGGGUCGACAUGCUCUUGAUUGACGUCAACGUAAGUUCUUUUCUUAUCAGUAUAUUAUUCCGAUUAGCCUCUUCGUGUUUGCGUUUUUUUCCUAACUUUUAAAUUUUUUUUUCUUCGUGUAUCAGGCGACAAUGAUGCAGGUCACCAUCAAUGCUAACCGCCUUUCACGAUUCCGUUCCAAACUCGCCGCCGGGACGAUGUACACCGUCUCUGGCUUCGAUGCGGCGGCGAUGAGGGACUUUCUAGUUUCUUCGUUCGAUCUGAAACGGUUCUAUCUAUGGCUGCAUGGUAAAUCGAAUUGAUCGGAUUUUAUCAUUUUGUGAGUUUCGUCAACGGAAGAGAAAGAUGGUAGUACAGCUCCUAUUAUCGAGACUAGGAUGCAAGAACCGACCCUUUUUCGGGUAAUGGCGGCGGAUAGCAGAUCUCCGAGAGACGGGAAGCACAUCGAGGUCUUGGGUUACUUCAAUCCUUUGCCAGGUGAUUUAAUGAAGAGGAUUUGUAUUCUUUGGUUCGAUUUUUGAUUGCUCUCUUCAUUUGUUUUUACACUGUUUCGUUUGUGUGCAGGCCAGGAUGGUGGUAAGAGAAUGGGUCUCAAGUUUUAUAGAAUCAAGUACGUUUCCUUAUCAUCUUUUCACAUUUGAGUUUGUGAAUGGAGUUGGAUGAUUUAGACCAUUGUUAUAAGGGAAGGCUCUCUUAGUUUAUUAAUAUGUGAAUGGAGCUGGAAACGUUAUUAGAAUGAUUCUUCAGUUCAUUGUAGCUUUGUGAAAGUAGUUUCCUUUGUUCAAAGGAGCAAUGCGUUUUUUUAAUCAUGUUUCUUGAGAUUGUCUUCUACUUACUUAAAUCACUCUUCUGGGUUUCUGCAUUUGAAAUGUUUUGGUCUAAGAUAUCAGUCAGGGUUUGCAGUCACAUUUACACAAUGAUUAGCUAUAUUUCCUUGGAUAUUUUCUCUUUCAUAUGUGUUGUUAUGACUACUUUCUCUGUUUUCUUUGAUUGAAUUUUGCAAUGUUUUUUUUUCAAAACAAAAAAAAUUUGCUUUAUUUUCUGGUGGUUUCGUGGCAGCUCCAUAACUUGAGUUUUAGGGGUUUUCAAAGUGUAAGCUCCAUAACAAUUGAUUUUCCAUAACAAUGUAAGUUAUCAAUGGGUAAUCUUCUGGUUUGUAUUUGUCACGUAGAAACUUCGAAUCCAUAUUUGGCUAUUUGAGCGGAAAGAUCUGAAGACUGAAGAAAUAAUUAAUGUAAAUCUGUACUACACAUUUUUAGCUAUGAAUCUGUUCCGAACAGAGCUCCAUGAGCAUGUACUUUGUAAUUCCUAGCUUAGUUUUCUUUCUAAAUCAAGUUUAAAUACACUGUUUAAUCGAUCUCUUUGUUUUCUCAAGUGUUCAGGAAUUCAUGGUGUUCUUUGUGCGGCUGAAUUCAUGGAGUACAAACACUACCGAGUAAGUUCAUCAACACACUACUGAGGAAUUCAUGGUGUUCUUUGUUCAGAAAGUUGCUUCACAUUUUAUUUUUCUUGCAUAUUCAAUUCGUGUCCAUUGGCCACUAGACUAACUUAAGGUUAUGUUCUUGAUUCAUCUGUCCCCUUCACAUUAUGUAUCUGAGGUUGAUCAAGAUUACUUUGAUAGGUCCCUUGCCAAGAGAUAUCUAUUGUUGAUCUAGAAACAUGGAUUUGAUACCAAUUAAGGUCCCUCUUCAAAUCAAAGAGAAUUUGCCAAAGGACAAACUAAGAACACACACUUUUCUUUGGGUAGUUAGACUACCUCUUUUUAGGUUUUUCAUUCAUAUAAAUAGCAAAGCGUACAUGAAGCAAAGAAAUGGAAAGUGGAGCACCAACUCCUAACAAACAUGAAAUGGGAAACGUGACAUGAAGAUUGGUUCCUAUAGUUAAGGAAGACCACUUCUUUUAUUAAUAAAACUAGAAAAUAAAUGAGUCGUGAGACUCCUUCAUGCGAGAUUCUUGCCCUUUGGUUGACGUCGUCUAGCUGAUCUCGUACUUGCCACCUCAGCACGUGCUUGACUUCUAGUAUCCUAUCAAUACCCCGGUGGUCUAAAAGAACCUUGUCCUCAAGGUUCAUGUGCAUUGAGGAAAACUUCACUUGAAUUGAUUCUCUUCCUCCCCGGUUGAUUCUUCUAGUUGUGAUGUUUUUCAACGCACUACGGCUUCCAAGACCACGCUGUCUCCAUGGUUCGUUAUUAACAAUAAUUUUUUUGAAUAAAAAGAGUUUUUGUUUUUGAGUGAAAAAGAAAUAUAAAAUCCUUUUUUUUUUUGAAAUUGAAAACAAUGGAAGAAUUAUAGAUAUUAAUCCAUACAAAAGAAAGGAUGUUGAACUUGAUCAACAAACCCGAGUAGAAAAUGGUGAAAAAAAAAGCAAUGAAAAGAACAAUAGCUGGAUAGAUCUCGAUAAACGUUGAUUCCGUAGAAUGGCCAUUCGUCAAGGUUUCUUGAUAAUCAUUGAUUUAUAGAGAAUACUGAUAACAAGUAAGAUGGAAAAAUAUUAAGUUUUUGAUACCACAAAGUGGUCCGGAUCAAAAACAAAACAUGCUCUGAUACCAAUUGAUAGGUCCCUUGCCAAGAGAUAUCUAUUGUUGAUCUAGAAACAUGGAUUUGAUACCAAUUAAGGUCCCUCUUCAAAUCAAAGAGAAUUUGCCAAAGGACAAACUAAGAACACACACUUUUCUUUGGGUAGUUAGACUACCUCUUUUUAGGUUUUUCAUUCAUAUAAAUAGCAAAGCGUACAUGAAGCAAAGAAAUGGAAAGUGGAGCACCAACUCCUAACAAACAUGAAAUGGGAAACGUGACAUGAAGAUUGGUUCCUAUAGUUAAGGAAGACCACUUCUUUUAUUAAUAAAACUAGAAAAUAAAUGAGUCGUGAGACUCCUUCAUGCGAGAUUAUUGCCCUUUGGUUGACGUCGUCUAGCUGAUCUCGUACUUGCCACCUCAGCACGUGCUUGACUUCUAGUAUCCUAUCAGUUUGCCUCUAAUGUUUAUGCUAAUUUAAGAGACUGCGAGUUGUUUUUCUUCUACUAAACCGGCACACGUUCUGUUUCUCAGAAAGUAAUUGUUCAGUAUCGUACUUUUACAAAAUUAAUACUAUCAAAAACAAACAACUUUACCAAACACAGAUUUAAAGUCAAACGCAGCCAUGCUACAAUAAACUAGAGGAAACGACGACAACAAAAAUAGUAUCAGAUAAUAAAAUUAGAAGUACUAAAGUGAUAACAACAAAAAGUAACAAUGUUAUUUGAAAAACAGAUACUUGCAAGGACUUAAACAUAAGGAACUUCAAAUAUGAGAUUUUGUACAUUAUAAAUUCAAAUAUGAAGUUUCACUGUACAAAACAUCAAAAUUUAAAAUUUUGAACUUGCUUUUAGAGCAAGUAAAACUCCAUAUUUGAAGUUUUGAAAUUGAUUUUGGAGAUGUUCUUAACAUGAAACAAUUGGUUUUGAUUUGUACUCAAUUAUAUGUUCGCUUCAGUUUAAAAUGUAUUUUCUUAACAAAUUGUACAAUCAAUGAAGUUAUUGCUUUAGUCGGAUAAUAAUGUUUAGCAACAUAACCGAUAACGUGGAUAUUCAUUAUAUCAACAUAAAAUAAUGAAAAAACAAAUAACAUAUAUAUAGUAAAGAGUCUAUAAAUUAAUACUCGGCAAAUGAAUAGGCACAAUAAUUAAUAAAUUUUAUUGGUCUUGAAUUGGACAUAUGUAAAAUAUAACAUAAUUCGAUAAAAUAAUAAUAACAUAACUAUUAUAUAUAACUUUUAUAUAAACAUAAAUAAAACAUCUUUUAAAAAAUGAAUUCAUCUUUCAUCUUUUUUUUUCAAUUUCAAUAUUCUGAUGUUUCUAUUGAAUUACAGAUAACAGACUUUUAUACUAUCAUCAAAUUCAACACACAUGAUAUAUCAAUUAAUUUAAUAAAGUAGAUAAAAUUUAACUAAUAUAUAGUAUCAUAAAGUUAUUUUUUUUUAACAAUAUAAUCAGCUAUUGUAACACAAACAACAUAUAUCUUAUCACAUAUAAUUCCUUCUCACCUAAAACUUUCUAAAAGACAAAAAAAACAUUAUCAUACACAUCUCUUGGAAAUGCAAACUUAUAACACAAACUACAAAAUCAUGCAAAAAUAAUAAUCUAGAUCACAAGUAAAGUAUAUAUAUAUCUAUCUAUAUAUAUAUAAAAUUGUCUGCCUCUCUCCUAAGCCAUCCAACUGGAAACUCGUUCUCUGAGGGGCUGACACUUGUCCGCUUUUUAUAAAACGCGUCGUAUCACUUAAAUUUUAAUAGAUCCGUGUUGGGCUUAGAUUUCGUUAUUGGGCUUCAGUUUAAUUGAGAGAAAGAGGUCGGGCACAUGAAUUAGGGUCCGACGGUCGUCUUCUCCAAACUCAGAUGACGUUCCUGAUACCUUCAGCAGAGAAACGGAUCUACCUUUAAUCCCAUUGAUUGGUGCCUCCACGAUGUGUUUUCAAUGCGAUCCUUACGCCUCAGAGGUGGUGCGAUUAUUGCGUAUAAAUAGGGGUCACCCCUCUCAUCCUCGACGCACCCACGCUUUCCUACAUAGAUUCUUCUUUGUUUUUGUCAUGUAUGCUCCGAAAGUUUUCUUCUCAGACCUCAAGUCCGGCAAGUGCUCCUCCGUCGUUGAGGCUCGGCUUCUGCGGUCCUGGGAGGCAAAAAAUGUCAAACGCG